UGCAGCUAAUACCUUUAAACCAGUNUCCCCCU
This 32-nucleotide non-coding RNA is filed under the name Mus musculus (house mouse). Lineage: Eukaryota; Metazoa; Chordata; Mammalia; Rodentia; Muridae. The record is from RNAcentral.